GACGAACGCUGGCGGCGUGCUUAACACAUGCAAGUCGAGCGGAAAGGCCCUUCGGGGUACUCGAGCGGCGAACGGGUGAGUAACACGUGAGUAACCUGCCCCAGACUUUGGGAUAACCCUCGGAAACGGGGGCUAAUACCGGAUACGACACAGCUUCGCAUGGGGUCUGUGUGGAAAGUUUUUCGGUUUGGGAUGGGCUCACGGCCUAUCAGCUUGUUGGUGGGGUGAUGGCCUACCAAGGCGACGACGGGUAGCCGGCCUGAGAGGGCGACCGGCCACACUGGGACUGAGACACGGCCCAGACUCCUACGGGAGGCAGCAGUGGGGAAUAUUGCACAAUGGGCGGAAGCCUGAUGCAGCGACGCCGCGUGAGGGAUGACGGCCUUCGGGUUGUAAACCUCUUUCAGCAGGGACGAAGCGUAAGUGACGGUACCUGCAGAAGAAGCGCCGGCCAACUACGUG
This 462-nucleotide ribosomal RNA is filed under the name uncultured bacterium. RNAcentral's name for it is "partial 16S ribosomal RNA". It matches the Rfam family "Bacterial small subunit ribosomal RNA", at positions 28 to 507 of the family's 1533-position model. The record is from RNAcentral.